CAGUCGCCGCGGUAAUACGGAGGGGGCUAGCGUUGUUCGGAAUUACUGGGCGUAAAGCGCACGUAGGCGGAUCAGAAAGUCAGAGGUGAAAUCCCAGGGCUCAACCUUGGAACUGCCUUUGAAACUCCUGGUCUUGAGGUCGAGAGAGGUGAGUGGAAUUCCGAGUGUAGAGGUGAAACUCGUAGAUAUUCGGAGGAACACCAGUGGCGAAGGCGGCUCACUGGCUCGAUACUGACGCUGAGGUGCGAAAGCGUGGGGAGCAAACAGGAUUAGAUACCCGAGUAGUCCCUGUCUCUUAUAC
Molecule: ribosomal RNA, 301 nt
Filed under: uncultured bacterium
Lineage: Bacteria
Description: partial 16S ribosomal RNA
Rfam family: Bacterial small subunit ribosomal RNA
Source: RNAcentral